GGCGGAGCGAGGGGCUUAGCAGGGGGCGCUCUCCCCUGGCAGGCAGGGUUUACUCUGGUGCUGUUAUAACUGGCCGCCCCGCCCCAGAGGUGGGCGCAUCUCAGCGCCAGGCGAGGGGGCCCUGGGUAACCGGCCGCCCCGCCCCAGAGGUGGCUGCAUCUCAGCGCCGGGCGAGGGGUCCCUGGGUAACCGGCCGCCCCGCCCCAGAGGUGGCUGCAUCUCAGCGCCGGGCGAGGGGUCCCUGGGUAACCGGCCGCCCCGCCCCAGAGGUGGCUGCAUCUCAGCGCCAGGCGAGGGGUCCCUGGGUAACCGGCUGCCCUGCCCCAGAGGUGGCUGCAUCUCAGCGCCGGGCGAGGGGUCCCUGGGUAACUGGCCGCCCCGCCCCAGAGGUGGGCGCAUCUCAGCGCCGGGCGAGGGGUCCCUGGGUAACCGGCUGCCCUGCCCCAGAAGUGGAUGCAUGGUGUG
This is a long non-coding RNA of Gopherus flavomarginatus (Mexican gopher tortoise), 465 nucleotides long. RefSeq lists it as uncharacterized. NCBI's taxonomy places the organism in Eukaryota, Metazoa, Chordata, Testudines, Testudinidae. The transcript has 3 exons. The record is from RefSeq and is a predicted model, not a curated record.